This 839-nucleotide long non-coding RNA is filed under the name Homo sapiens (human). RNAcentral describes it as "HSALNT0338002". Lineage: Eukaryota; Metazoa; Chordata; Mammalia; Primates; Hominidae. The record is from RNAcentral.
CUGGUCACAGGGUUGCAGCCCAGUACCCAGGGAAGAGGGAUCCAGGAUCAAAUAGAUAGGACAACCGCUGGGGGAGGGGCCGGCCCCACCGGAGGAAAUGAAAAUAGUUGCAGUUUCAUUUGCUUUAAAGCACAGCCCUUGUAAUAAAUGCGCACAGCAAAUGUGCUGAGCAAACACCUCGGCAUUCAUCACUAUGCGGGGGCUGUUUACUGCCUCAUAAACUUGGAAGCAAGUGAUAUUGUCUCCUAAAUCAAUGGCUGCGCGGACAGCCUUGGCGCUCCAGGAGAACAGCACGGCCAGGCCGCGCCCGUGCUGAAAUUAAUGACUGGAGCAGUGACUGGAAGGUGCUUAGUCACUGCCGAGGGGAUUAGGAGCCAUUCCAGGGGACGAGCAGCCAGCCGAUGCUGAUGAGUCGGGGGCCGGAUGCCCCAACCAGAGCUCUGUGAUUAACCAGCUGAGUAAGCCUGCUUGGACCCCCAGAUCAGAAAGAGUCCAUCUCCCUGAGCUUACCACAGUAUGCACUGACCUAUGAUGGCACAGAUUUCUCUAAACAUGCUGUGCAGGUCAUCCAGCAAUGGAGAAUAUAGAAAACUUCCAGAGAUAGAGAAGCCCUUCUGCUUCCAGCCCCCUGAUAAGGUAUAAGAGAGACAGAUUUUUAAUAAUGUAUAUCCAAAUAGGAGAGAAAAAGAUUCUGAAACUCUAACCUUGAGACGACUCUAACCCUACAUAUGAUAUAUGACCAGCAGCCACAUGUUUUCCAUCAUUUUAAAAUAGACUUUUAUGUAUUUUAGAAAUGUUUUCCAUAAGCAUGUAUUUCUUCAACAAUCACAAAACAUUAA